UGGGCUGGGGCUCAGUGGUUGAGCGCUUGCCUUGCAUGCGUCAGGCACUGGGUUCGAUCCUUAGCAGCACAG
Ictidomys tridecemlineatus (thirteen-lined ground squirrel) is the source of this 72-nucleotide non-coding RNA. The record is from Rfam. Lineage: Eukaryota; Metazoa; Chordata; Mammalia; Rodentia; Sciuridae.